RNAcentral lists this ribosomal RNA (253 nucleotides) under uncultured bacterium. RNAcentral's name for it is "partial 16S ribosomal RNA". It matches the Rfam family "Bacterial small subunit ribosomal RNA", at positions 524 to 776 of the family's 1533-position model. The record is from RNAcentral.
UACGGAGGAUGCAAGCGUUAUCCGGAUUCAUUGGGUUUAAAGGGUGCGUAGGCGGCCUUUUAAGUCAGUGGUGAAAUCCUGCCGCUUAACGGUAGAAUUGCCAUUGAUACUGAAAGGCUUGAGUCCAGUUGAGGUAAGCGGAAUGUGUAGUGUAGCGGUGAAAUGCUUAGAUAUUACACAGAACACCAAUUGCGAAGGCAGCUUACUAAACUGGCACUGACGCUGAUGCACGAAAGCGUGGGGAGCGAACAGG